This 253-nucleotide ribosomal RNA is filed under the name uncultured bacterium. RNAcentral's name for it is "partial 16S ribosomal RNA". It matches the Rfam family "Bacterial small subunit ribosomal RNA", at positions 524 to 776 of the family's 1533-position model. The record is from RNAcentral.
UACGGAGGGUGCAAGCGUUAUCCGGAUUCACUGGGUUUAAAGGGAGCGUAGGUGGUUUAGUAAGUCAGUGGUGAAAGCCCCGUGCUUAACUUGGGAAUUGCCAUUGAUACUGCUAAUCUUGAGAAUGUUUGAAGUGGACGGAAUAUGGCAUGUAGCGGUGAAAUGCUUAGAUAUGCCAUAGAACACCGAUUGUGAAGACAGUUCACUAAGCCAUAUCUGACACUGAGGCUCGAAAGCGUGGGGAGCGAACAGG